CCUACGGGAGGCAGCAGUGGGGAAUUUUGGACAAUGGGGGCAACCCUGAUCCAGCAAUGCCGCGUGAGUGAAGAAGGCCCUCGGGUUGUAAAGCUCUUUUGUCAGGGAAGAAACGGUGGUUCCUAAUACGAGCUGCUAAUGACGGUACCUGAAGAAUAAGCACCGGCUAACUACGUGCCAGCAGCCGCGGUAAUACGUAGGGUGCAAGCGUUAAUCGGAAUUACUGGGCGUAAAGCGUGCGCAGGCGGUUAUAUAAGACAGAGGUGAAAUCCCCGGGCUCAACCUGGGAACUGCCUUUGUGACUGUAUGGCUAGAGUGUGUCAGAGGGGGGUAGAAUUCCACGUGUAGCAGUGAAAUGCGUAGAUAUGUGGAGGAAUACCGAUGGCGAAGGCAGCCCCCUGGGAUAACACUGACGCUCAUGCACGAAAGCGUGGGGAGCAAACAGGAUUAGAUACCCUGGUAGUCCACGCCCCAAACGAUGUCUACUAGUUGUCGGGACUUAAUUGUCUUGGUAACGCAGCUAACGCGUGAAGUAGACCGCCUGGGGAGUACGGUCGCAAGNUUAAAACUCAAAUGAAAUUGACGG
RNAcentral lists this ribosomal RNA (586 nucleotides) under uncultured bacterium. RNAcentral describes it as "bacterial SSU rRNA". It matches the Rfam family "Bacterial small subunit ribosomal RNA", at positions 338 to 916 of the family's 1533-position model. The record is from RNAcentral.